UACGUAGGGUGCAAGCGUUAAUCGGAAUUACUGGGCGUAAAGCGUGCGCAGGCGGUUUGGUAAGACAGAUGUGAAAUCCCCGGGCUUAACCUGGGAAUUGCAUUUGUGACUGCCCGGCUGGAGUGUGUCAGAGGGGGGUAGAAUUCCACGUGUAGCAGUGAAAUGCGUAGAGAUGUGGAGGAAUACCGAUGGCGAAGGCAGCCCCCUGGGAUAACACUGACGCUCAUGCACGAAAGCGUGGGGAGCAAACAGG
Molecule: ribosomal RNA, 253 nt
Filed under: uncultured bacterium
Lineage: Bacteria
Description: partial 16S ribosomal RNA
Rfam family: Bacterial small subunit ribosomal RNA
Source: RNAcentral